GGAGUUAGCCGGUGCUUCUUCUGUGAGUGAUGUCCUUCCUGCCGGUUAUUGACCCGCAGGCCUUCUUCCUCACUGAAAGUGCUUUACAACCCGAAGGCCUUCUUCACACACGCGGCAUGGCUGGUUCAGGGUUGCCCCCAUUGUCCAAUAUUCCCCACUGCUGCCUCCCGUAGGAGUCUGGGCCGUGUCUCAGUCCCAGUGUGGCUGAUCAUCCUCUCAGACCAGCUACGGAUCGUCGCCUUGGUGAGCCGUUACCUCACCAACCAGCUAAUCCGACAUAGGCUCAUCCGAUAGCGCGAGGCCCGAAGGUCCCCCGCUUUCCCCCGUAGGGCGUAUGCGGUAUUAGCCUGGGUUUCCCCAGGUUAUCCCCCACUACCGGGCAGAUUCCUAUGCAUUACUCACCCGUCCGCCGCUCGCCACCAGGGAGCAAGCUCCCCGUGCUGCCGCUCGACUUGCAUGUGUUAGGCCUGCCGCCAGCGUUCAAUCUGAGCCAGGAUCAAACUCUGA
Molecule: ribosomal RNA, 507 nt
Filed under: uncultured bacterium
Lineage: Bacteria
Description: partial 16S ribosomal RNA
Source: RNAcentral